Molecule: ribosomal RNA, 423 nt
Filed under: uncultured Cantharellales
Lineage: Eukaryota; Fungi; Basidiomycota; Agaricomycetes; Cantharellales
Description: eukaryotic LSU rRNA
Rfam family: Eukaryotic large subunit ribosomal RNA (bases 368-423)
Source: RNAcentral
ACAUGACGACGUGAAUCAUCGAAUCUUUGAACGCAAAUUGCACUUUUUGGCUCGCCAAAAAGUAAUGCCUGUUUGAGUAUCAUUUCUCCCUCUACCAAAACGCAAGUUUUCUUGACGUUUUCGCGUAGGUCUUGAGUGCCCAUGCGCAAGCGUGUCACUCUAAAUGUAGUCUAGAAGUGGUUAGACGUUAGCGUCGUGCUUUCUAUACAGCCAACCAUGUCUGGGCCAUUCGUGUUCAAGUCUUCGGACAGCUCACCUUGGCAUUCAACCAGACAUAAGUUUUGUAUAGGGUCGAUGUGUCUACUACCUAGAGGCAACAGCAGGCGCUGUCGUCACAACAUAGAAUUCUAUUCGAUUUCUAUAAUCUUGAUCUCAAAUCAGGUAGGAUCACCCGCUGAACUUAAGCAUAUCAAUAAGCGGAGG